Molecule: ribosomal RNA, 913 nt
Filed under: uncultured archaeon
Lineage: Archaea
Description: bacterial SSU rRNA
Rfam family: Archaeal small subunit ribosomal RNA
Source: RNAcentral
CCGGUUGAUCCCGCCGGACCUGACUGCUAUCGGAUUAAUACUAAGCCAUGCGAGUUUUUGUAGUAAUACAAGGCAUACGGCUCAGUAACACGUAGUCAACCUACCCUAUGGACGAGGAUAAUCUCGGGAAACUGAGCAUAAUACUCGAUAGAUCAUAAUGCCUGGAAUGGUUUAUGGUUGAAAUGAUUCGUUCGCCAUAGGAUGGGACUGCGGCCUAUCAGCUUGUUGGUGAGGUAAUGGCCCACCAAGGCGAUUACAGGUACGGGCUCUGAGAGGAGAAGCCCGGAGAUGGGUACUGAGACACGGACCCAGGCCCUAUGGGGCGCAGCAGGCGAGAAAACUUUGCAAUGUGCGAAAGCACGACAAGGUUAGUCCGAGUGAUUUCUGCUAAAGAGAUCUUUUGCAAGUCAUAAAACCACUAGUGAAUAAGGGGUGGGCAAGUUCUGGUGUCAGCCGCCGCGGUAAAACCAGCACCUCAAGUGGUCAGGAGGAUUAUUGGGCCUAAAGCAUCCGUAGCCGGCUCUGUAAGUUUUCGGUUAAAUCCAUGCGCUCAACGCAUGGGCUGUCGGAAAUACUGCAGAGCUAGGGAGUGGGAGAGGUAGACGGUACUCGGUAGGAAGGGGUAAAAUCCUUUGAUCAAUCGAUGACCACCUGUGGCGAAGGCGGUCUACCAGAACACGUUCGACGGUGAGGGAUGAAAGCUGGGGGAGCAAACCGGAUUAGAUACCCGGGUAGUCCCAGCUGUAAACGAUGCAGACUCGAUGAUGCAUUGGCAUAUAGCCAGUGCAGUGUCGCAGGGAAGCCGUUAAGUCUGCCGCCUGGGAAGUACGUACGCAAGUAUGAAACUUAAAGGAAUUGGCGGGGGAGCACCACAAGGGGUGAAGCCUGCGGUUCAAUUGGAUUCAACGCCGGG